Long non-coding RNA from Thalassophryne amazonica, 94 nucleotides. RefSeq lists it as uncharacterized. The record is from RefSeq and is a predicted model, not a curated record. The transcript is spliced from 3 exons. NCBI's taxonomy places the organism in Eukaryota, Metazoa, Chordata, Actinopteri, Batrachoidiformes, Batrachoididae.
ACCUCAAAAAAUUUGAUUAUUGUGAAAAGUUCAAUAUUUUUUGUCAGGUAUUUCAGAUAGUGAAAAUUUGACAUUUUCUACACUCUUCACACAG